GGGUUGUGAGGUUAAGUGACUAAGCGUACACGGUGGAUGCCUAGGCAGUCAGAGGCGAUGAAGGACGUGCUAAUCUGCGAUAAGCGUCGGUGAGCUGAUAUGAAGCAUUAUUAGCCGGCGAUGUCCGAAUGGGGAAACCCAGUGCAAUCCGUUGCACUAUCGUUAAGUGAAUACAUAGCUUAACGAGGCGAACCAGGGGAACUGAAACAUCUAAGUACCCUGAGGAAAAGAAAUCAACCGAGAUUCCCCUAGUAGCGGCGAGCGAACGGGGAAGAGCCCAGAACCUGAAUCAGUUUGUGCAUUAGUGGAAGCGUCUGGAAAGUCGCGCGAUACAGGGUGAUAGCCCCGUACACGAAGGUGCACAGCUGUGAGUUCGAUGAGUAGGGCGGGACACGUGUUAUCCUGUCUGAAUAUGGGGGGACCAUCCUCCAAGGCUAAAUACUCCUGACUGACCGAUAGUGAACCAGUACCGUGAGGGAAAGGCGAAAAGAACCCCGGCGAGGGGAGUGAAAUAGAACCUGAAACCGUGUACGUACAAGCAGUGGGAGCAUCCUUCGGGGUGUGACUGCGUACCUUUUGUAUAAUGGGUCAGCGACUUAUAUUUUGUAGCAAGGUUAACCGAAUAGGGGAGCCGUAGGGAAACCGAGUCUUAACUGGGCGUCUAGUUGCAAGGUAUAGACCCGAAACCCGGUGAUCUAGCCAUGGGCAGGUUGAAGGUUGGGUAACACUAACUGGAGGACCGAACCGACUAAUGUUGAAAAAUUAGCGGAUGACUUGUGGCUGGGGGUGAAAGGCCAAUCAAACCGGGAGAUAGCUGGUUCUCCCCGAAAGCUAUUUAGGUAGCGCCUCGUGAACUCAUCUUCGGGGGUAGAGCACUGUUUCGGCUAGGGGGUCAUCCCGACUUACCAACCCGAUGCAAACUACGAAUACCGAAGAAUGUUAUCACGGGAGACACACGGCGGGUGCUAACGUCCGUCGUGAAGAGGGAAACAACCCAGACCGCCAGCUAAGGUCCCAAAGUCAUGGUUAAGUGGGAAACGAUGUGGGAAGGCAUAGACAGCCAGGAUGUUGGCUUAGAAGCAGCCAUCAUUUAAAGAAAGCGUAAUAGCUCACUGGUCGAGUCGGCCUGCGCGGAAGAUGUAACGGGGCUAAACCAUGCACCGAAGCUGCGGCAGCGACGCUUAGGCGUUGUUGGGUAGGGGAGCGUUCUGUAAGCCUGCGAAGGUGGCCUGUGAGGGCUGCUGGAGGUAUCAGAAGUGCGAAUGCUGACAUAAGUAACGAUAAAGCGGGUGAAAAGCCCGCUCGCCGGAAGACCAAGGGUUCCUGUCCAACGUUAAUCGGGGCAGGGUAAGUCGACCCCUAAGGCGAGGCUGAAAAGCGUAGUCGAUGGGAAACAGGUUAAUAUUCCUGUACUUGGUGUUAUUGCGAAGGGGGACGGAGAAGGCUAGACCGGCCGGGCGACGGUUGUCCCGGUUUAAGCGUGUAGGUGGGGUGACUUGGCAAAUCCGGUUACCUUUAACACUGAGGCGUGAUGACGAGGCACUACGGUGCUGAAGUGGUUAAUGCCCUGCUUCCAGGAAAAGCCUCUAAGCUCCAGAUAACACUGAAUCGUACCCCAAACCGACACAGGUGGUCAGGUAGAGAAUACCAAGGCGCUUGAGAGAACUCGGGUGAAGGAACUAGGCAAAAUGGUGCCGUAACUUCGGGAGAAGGCACGCUGGCACGUAGGUGAAGUCCCUCGCGGAUGGAGCCGAAGCCAGUCGAAGAUACCAGCUGGCUGCAACUGUUUAAUAAAAACACAGCACUCUGCAAACACGAAAGUGGACGUAUAGGGUGUGACGCCUGCCCGGUGCUGGAAGGUUAAUUGAUGGGGUCAGCCGCAAGGCGAAGCUCUUGAUCGAAGCCCCAGUAAACGGCGGCCGUAACUAUAACGGUCCUAAGGUAGCGAAAUUCCUUGUCGGGUAAGUUCCGACCUGCACGAAUGGCGUAAUGAUGGCCAGGCUGUCUCCACCCGAGACUCAGUGAAAUUGAACUCGCUGUGAAGAUGCAGUGUACCCGCGGCAAGACGGAAAGACCCCGUGAACCUUUACUAUAGCUUGACACUGAACAUUGAACCUUGAUGUGUAGGAUAGGUGGGAGGCUUUGAAGUGUGGACGCCAGUCUGCAUGGAGCCGACCUUGAAAUACCACCCUUUAAUGUUUGAUGUUCUAACCUGGUCCCGUGAUCCGGGAUAGGGACAGUGUCUGGUGGGUAGUUUGACUGGGGCGGUCUCCUCCCAAAGAGUAACGGAGGAGCACGAAGGUUAGCUAAUCCUGGUCGGACAUCAGGAGGUUAGUGCAAAGGCAUAAGCUAGCUUGACUGCGAGAGUGACGGCUCGAGCAGGUGCGAAAGCAGGUCUUAGUGAUCCGGUGGUUCUGAAUGGAAGGGCCAUCGCUCAACGGAUAAAAGGUACUCCGGGGAUAACAGGCUGAUACCGCCCAAGAGUUCAUAUCGACGGCGGUGUUUGGCACCUCGAUGUCGGCUCAUCACAUCCUGGGGCUGAAGUAGGUCCCAAGGGUAUGGCUGUUCGCCAUUUAAAGUGGUACGCGAGCUGGGUUUAGAACGUCGUGAGACAGUUCGGUCCCUAUCUGCCGUGGGCGUUGGAAGAUUGAGAGGGGCUGCUCCUAGUACGAGAGGACCGGAGUGGACGCACCGCUGGUGUUCGGGUUGUGAUGCCAAUUGCAUUGCCCGGUAGCUACGUGCGGAAAAGAUAAGCGCUGAAAGCAUCUAAGCGCGAAACUUGCCUCGAGAUGAGUCUUCCCUUGGACCUUGAGUCCACUAAAGGAACGUUUAAGACUAAGACGUUGAUAGGCUGGGUGUGUAAGCGUAGCGAUACGUUGAGCUAACCAGUACUAAUGAUCCGUGAGACUUAACCUUACAACACCGAAGGUGUUU
RNAcentral lists this ribosomal RNA (2934 nucleotides) under Edwardsiella piscicida. RNAcentral's name for it is "23S ribosomal RNA". It matches the Rfam family "Bacterial large subunit ribosomal RNA". Lineage: Bacteria; Pseudomonadati; Pseudomonadota; Gammaproteobacteria; Enterobacterales; Hafniaceae. The record is from RNAcentral.